UUUCAGAGUAUGUGGAAACUGAUCCGACUGGCCGCUACGGACGUUUUGCAGAGAUUCUUGGAAGGGGAGCGAUGAAGACAGUAUACAAAGCAAUCGACGAGAAGCUUGGAAUAGAAGUAGCAUGGAGCCAGGUGAAGCUGAAAGAGGUUCUGCGUUCCUCUGUUGAUCUACAGAGGCUCUACUCCGAAGUUCAUCUCCUCAGCACUCUCAACCACAAAUCCAUCAUUCGUUUCUACACUUCCUGGAUCGAUGUUCACAAUCAUACUCUCAACUUUAUCACCGAGUUGUUCACUUCUGGGACCCUCCGACAGUA
This is a non-coding RNA of Camelina sativa (false flax), 313 nucleotides long. The record is from RefSeq and is a predicted model, not a curated record. Lineage: Eukaryota; Viridiplantae; Streptophyta; Magnoliopsida; Brassicales; Brassicaceae.